GAUGAACGCUGGCGGCGUGCCUAAUACAUGCAAGUCGAGCGAACAGACGAGGAGCUUGCUCCUCUGACGUUAGCGGCGGACGGGUGAGUAACACGUGGAUAACCUACCUAUAAGACUGGGAUAACUUCGGGAAACCGGAGCUAAUACCGGAUAAUAUAUUGAACCGCAUGGUUCAAUAGUGAAAGACGGUUUUGCUGUCACUUAUAGAUUGAUCCGCGCCGCAUUAGCUAGUUGGUAAGGUAACGGCUUACCAAGGCAACGAUGCGUAGCCGACCUGAGAGGGUGGUCGGCCACACUGGAACUGAGACACGGUCGAGACUCCUACGGGAGGCAGCAGUAGGGAAUCUUCCGCGAUGGGCGAAAGCCUGACGGAGCAACGCCGCGUGAGUGAUGAAGGUCUUCGGAUCGUAAAACUCUGUUAUUAGGGAAGAACAAAUGUGUAAGUAACUAUGCACGUCUUGACGGUACCUAAUCAGAAAGCCACGGCUAACUACGUG
Molecule: ribosomal RNA, 497 nt
Filed under: uncultured bacterium
Lineage: Bacteria
Description: partial 16S ribosomal RNA
Rfam family: Bacterial small subunit ribosomal RNA
Source: RNAcentral